RNAcentral lists this ribosomal RNA (1494 nucleotides) under metagenome. Its description in RNAcentral is "bacterial LSU rRNA". It matches the Rfam family "Bacterial large subunit ribosomal RNA", at positions 1438 to 2912 of the family's 2925-position model. The record is from RNAcentral.
CCUGUACUUCUGGUUACUGCGAUGGAGGGACGGAGAAGGCUAGGCCAGCUUGGCGUUGGUUGUCCAAGUUUAAGGUGGUAGGCUGAAAUCUUAGGUAAAUCCGGGGUUUCAAGGCCGAGAGCUGAUGACGAGUCGUCUUUUAGAUGACGAAGUGGUUGAUGCCAUGCUUCCAAGAAAAGCUUCUAAGCUUCAGGUAACCAGGAACCGUACCCCAAACCGACACAGGUGGUCGGGUAGAGAAUACCAAGGCGCUUGGGAGAACUCGGGUGAAGGAACUAGGCAAAAUGGCACCGUAACUUCGGGAGAAGGUGCGCCGGCUAGGGUGAAGGAUUUACUCCGUAAGCUCUGGCUGGUCGAAGAUACCAGGCCGCUGCGACUGUUUAUUAAAAACACAGCACUCUGCAAACACGAAAGUGGACGUAUAGGGUGUGACGCCUGCCCGGUGCCGGAAGGUUAAUUGAUGGGGUUAGCGCAAGCGAAGCUCUUGAUCGAAGCCCCGGUAAACGGCGGCCGUAACUAUAACGGUCCUAAGGUAGCGAAAUUCCUUGUCGGGUAAGUUCCGACCUGCACGAAUGGCGUAACGAUGGCGGCGCUGUCUCCACCCGAGACUCAGUGAAAUUGAAAUCGCUGUGAAGAUGCAGUGUAUCCGCGGCUAGACGGAAAGACCCCGUGAACCUUUACUGUAGCUUUGCACUGGACUUUGAGCCUGCUUGUGUAGGAUAGGUGGGAGGCUUUGAAGCGUGGACGCCAGUUCGCGUGGAGCCAUCCUUGAAAUACCACCCUGGCAUGCUUGAGGUUCUAACUCUGGUCCGUAAUCCGGAUCGAGGACAGUGUAUGGUGGGCAGUUUGACUGGGGCGGUCUCCUCCUAAAGAGUAACGGAGGAGUACGAAGGUGCGCUCAGACCGGUCGGAAAUCGGUCGCAGAGUAUAAAGGCAAAAGCGCGCUUGACUGCGAGACAGACACGUCGAGCAGGUACGAAAGUAGGUCUUAGUGAUCCGGUGGUUCUGUAUGGAAGGGCCAUCGCUCAACGGAUAAAAGGUACUCCGGGGAUAACAGGCUGAUACCGCCCAAGAGUUCAUAUCGACGGCGGUGUUUGGCACCUCGAUGUCGGCUCAUCACAUCCUGGGGCUGAAGCCGGUCCCAAGGGUAUGGCUGUUCGCCAUUUAAAGUGGUACGCGAGCUGGGUUUAGAACGUCGUGAGACAGUUCGGUCCCUAUCUGCCGUGGACGUUUGAGAUUUGAGAGGGGCUGCUCCUAGUACGAGAGGACCGGAGUGGACGAACCUCUGGUGUUCCGGUUGUCACGCCAGUGGCAUUGCCGGGUAGCUAUGUUCGGAAAAGAUAACCGCUGAAAGCAUCUAAGCGGGAAACUUGCCUCAAGAUGAGAUCUCACUGGGAACUUGAUUCCCCUGAAGGGCCGUCGAAGACUACGACGUUGAUAGGCUGGGUGUGUAAGCGUUGUGAGGCGUUGAGCUAACCAGUACUAAUUGCCCGU